RNAcentral lists this ribosomal RNA (496 nucleotides) under uncultured Glomus. RNAcentral's name for it is "SSU rRNA". It matches the Rfam family "Eukaryotic small subunit ribosomal RNA", at positions 569 to 1069 of the family's 1831-position model. The record is from RNAcentral. Lineage: Eukaryota; Fungi; Glomeromycota; Glomeromycetes; Glomerales; Glomeraceae.
AGCAGCCGCGGUAAUUCCAGCUCCAAUAGCGUAUAUUAAAGUUGUUGCAGUUAAAAAGCUCGUAGUUGAAUUUCGGGAUCAGUAGGUCGGUCAUGCCUAUGGUAUGCACUGGCUUUACUGAUUCCUCCUUCUUGAUGAACUGUAAUGUCAUUAAUUUGGUGUUGCAUGGAAUCAGGACUGUUACUUUGAAAAAAUUGAGUGUUUAAAGCAGGCAUACGCUUGAAUACAUUAGCAUGGAAUAAUGAAAUAGGACGAUCGAUCCUAUUUUGUUGGUUUCUAGGAUUGACGUAAUGAUUAAUAGGGAUAGUUGGGGGCAUUAGUAUUCAAUUGUCAGAGGUGAAAUUCUUGGAUUUAUUGAAGACUAACUACUGCGAAAGCUAUUUGCCAAGGAUGUUUUCAUUAAUCAAGAACGAAAGUUAGGGGAUCGAAGACGAUCAGAUACCGUCGUAGUCUUAACCAUAAACUAUGCCGACUAGGGAUCGGAUGAUGUUAUUUU